GCGUUGUCCGGAAUUAUUGGGCGUAAAGGGUGCGCAGGCGGUUUUUCAAGUCAGAUGUAAAAUCUCCCGGCUUAACUGGGAGGGGCCAUUUGAAACUGAAGGACUAGAGUGCAGGAGAGGAUAGCGGAAUUCCCGGUGUAGUGGUGAAAUGCGUAGAUAUCGGGAGGAACACCAGAGGCGAAGGCGGCUAUCUGGCCUGCAACUGACGCUGAGGCACGAAGGCUAG
Molecule: ribosomal RNA, 226 nt
Filed under: uncultured bacterium
Lineage: Bacteria
Description: partial 16S ribosomal RNA
Rfam family: Bacterial small subunit ribosomal RNA
Source: RNAcentral